AGAGUUUGAUCCUGGCUCAGAAUCAACGCUGGCGGCGCGCUUAACACAUGCAAGUCGAACGAGAAAGCAGGAGCAAUCUUGUGAGUAAAGUGGCGUACGGGUGAGUAACACGUGGAUCAUCUACCUCUUUGUGGGGGAUAACCCUGGGAAACCGGAGCUAAUACCGCAUAAGUCCGUGAGGAGAAAGCAGCAAUGCGCAGAGAGAGGAGUCCGCGGCCGAUUAGUUAGUUGGCAGGGUAAAAGCCUACCAAGACAAAGAUCGGUAGCCGGCCUGAGAGGGCACACGGCCACACUGGCACUGAAACACGGGCCAGACUCCUACGGGAGGCAGCAGUGGGGAAUCUUGCACAAUGGGGGCAACCCUGAUGCAGCGACGCCGCGUGAGCGAUGAAGCCCUUCGGGGUGUAAAGCUCUUUCGGCAGGGAAGAUUAUGACGGUACCUGCAGAAGCAGCUGCGGCUAACUACGUGCCAGCAGCCGCGGUAAUACGUAGGCAGCGAGCGUUGUUCGGAGUUACUGGGCGUAAAGGGUGUGUAGGCGGUUUUCUAAGUCUGGUGUGAAAUCUCCCGGCUCAACUGGGAGGGUGCGCCGAAAACUGGAAGGCUAGAGUGCGGGAUGGGUAAGUGGAAUUCCUGGUGUAGCGGUGAAAUGCGUAGAUAUCAGGAGGAACACCUGUGGUGUAGACGGCUUACUGGACCGCAACUGACGCUGAAACACGAAAGCGUGGGUAGCAAACAGGAUUAGAUACCCUAGUAGUCC
RNAcentral lists this ribosomal RNA (758 nucleotides) under uncultured bacterium. RNAcentral describes it as "bacterial SSU rRNA". It matches the Rfam family "Bacterial small subunit ribosomal RNA", at positions 8 to 796 of the family's 1533-position model. The record is from RNAcentral.